Perognathus longimembris pacificus (Pacific pocket mouse) is the source of this 106-nucleotide small nuclear RNA. The record is from RefSeq and is a predicted model, not a curated record. Lineage: Eukaryota; Metazoa; Chordata; Mammalia; Rodentia; Heteromyidae.
GUGCUCGCUUGGGUAGCACAUAUACCGAAACUGGAACCAUACAGAGAAGAUUAGCAUGGCCCCUACGUAAGGAUGCAUGCAAAUUUGUAAAGUGUUCCAUAUUGAA